RNAcentral lists this ribosomal RNA (463 nucleotides) under uncultured bacterium. RNAcentral describes it as "partial 16S ribosomal RNA". It matches the Rfam family "Bacterial small subunit ribosomal RNA", at positions 29 to 507 of the family's 1533-position model. The record is from RNAcentral.
AGUGAACGCUGGCGGCGUGCCUAAUACAUGCAAGUCGAACGAUGAAGUCCUAGCUUGCUAGGAUGGAUUAGUGGCGCACGGGUGAGUAAUAUAUAGUUAAUCUGCCCUACACAGAGGAACAACAGUUGGAAACGACUGCUAAUACCUCAUACUACUAUUUGGCAUAAGUUAAAUAGGGAAAGUCUUUUCGGUGUAGGAUGCGACUAUAUCGUAUCAGCUAGUUGGUAAGGUAAUGGCGUACAAAGGCUAUGAAGCGUAACUGGUCUGAGGGGAUGAGCAGUCGAAUUGGAACUGAGACACGGUCCAAACACCUACGGCAGUCAGCAGUAAGGUAUCGUGCGCAAGGGGGGUAACCCUGACGCAGCUUCGCCGCGUGGAGGAUUACACUUAUCGAAGCGUAAACUCCUUUUAUCAGGAAAGAAUAAUCACGGUACCUGAUGAAUAAGCACCGGCUAACUCCGUG